AGCGGCGGACGGGUGAGUAACACGUGGGUAACCUGCCCAAGAGACUGGGAUAACACCUGGAAACAGAUGCUAGUACCGGAUAACAACACUAGACGCAUGUCUAGAGCUUGAAAGAUGGUUCUGCUAUCACUCUUGGAUGGACCUGCGGUGCAUUAGCUAGUUGGUAGGGUAACGGCUUACCAAGGCAAUGAUGCAUAGCCGAGUUGAGAGACUGAUCGGCACAUUGGGACUGAGACACGGCCCAAACUCCUACGGGAGGCAGCAGUAGGGAAUCUUCCACAAUGGACGAAAGUCUGAUGGAGCAACGCCGCGUGAGUGAAGAAGGGUUUCGGCUCGUAAAGCUCUGUUGGUAGUGAAGAAAGAUAGAGGUAGUAACUGGCCUUUAUUUGACGGUAAUUACUUAGAAAGUCACGGCUAACUACGUGCCAGCAGCCGCGGUAAUACGUAGGUGGCAAGCGUUGUCCGGAUUUAUUGGGCGUAAAGCGAGUGCAGGCGGUUCAAUAAGUCUGAUGUGAAAGCCUUCGGCUCAACCGGAGAAUUGCAUCAGAAACUGUUGAACUUGAGUGCAGAAGAGGAGAGUGGAACUCCAUGUGUAGCGGUGGAAUGCGUAGAUAUAUGGAAGAACACCAGUGGCGAAGGCGGCUCUCUGGUCUGCAACUGACGCUGAGGCUCGAGAGCAUGGGUAGCGAACAGGAUUAGAUACCCUGGUAGUCCAUGCCGUAAACGAUGAGUGCUAAGUGU
This 741-nucleotide ribosomal RNA is filed under the name uncultured bacterium. RNAcentral describes it as "bacterial SSU rRNA". It matches the Rfam family "Bacterial small subunit ribosomal RNA", at positions 94 to 823 of the family's 1533-position model. The record is from RNAcentral.